AUGUGGAUUUCUACAUUGAUGAUGUAUGUUAUUCUCUGGGUUAUUGGUUAUUAUGUUAUUCAUGGAAGACUUGUUUUAGAUUCUAUUCGAGAUUCACAUUCAUGACAAACAUUUUUGCAUAGUUUCUUUUCUUCUCCUCCUUUUUAAUUUAAAGAUUCUGUUUGAAAAAUAUACAUAUUGCAAGAUUCGAGUUGUGAAUUGUAUGGUUUGUCCACAUUUUUAGUAAAUUUGAUUCACAUGUCUGAUUUGUGUCCUUCGAUGCCUAAAUUAAAUUGAAUUGAAUCAUAUGAUUGGAAUCAGUGAUUGUACAAUUCUAACAACUCCGCUCAAUUUUUGCCAUAUUUUUCUGGAAAACUUAAGGUUCUGUUGCAGAACUUACUUCUUGUGUUCAUGUGAAAUGAGUUUAUAUUCAUGACAAUUUAGACUCUGUGAAGUUGAUUGACUUGUUCAUGUGU
Molecule: unclassified non-coding RNA, 455 nt
Filed under: Hevea brasiliensis (rubber tree)
Lineage: Eukaryota; Viridiplantae; Streptophyta; Magnoliopsida; Malpighiales; Euphorbiaceae
Source: RNAcentral